Molecule: ribosomal RNA, 483 nt
Filed under: Gloreugenia hedleyi
Lineage: Eukaryota; Metazoa; Mollusca; Gastropoda; Stylommatophora; Camaenidae
Description: partial 12S ribosomal RNA
Source: RNAcentral
GUCAAACCUUUGCAGUAAGAAGUAAUGUAGCACUUAAGCACACUCAAUUUUAUUUUAUGGUGAAAUAUACCUAUAAACUAAUACUAAUAUUUUGCAAUAAUACUUAAAUAUUGAAUUUAAACAGGGAUUAGAUACCCCUUUAUACAAUACUCUUACAAUUUGCUGAGCACUAAAGCUAUUAGAGCUAAAACUUAAACAAUCUGGCGGUAAUUUUAAUUUAGGGGAACUUACCUGUUAAUUGACAACCACCAAGGUGAAUAAACCACGGAAAAAUCUUGUAUGCCGCCGUCGUCAGGUAACACUUAUAGUAUUAUCACAAUAUAAAAACAUAAAAAGACAGGUCAAGGUGCAGACAAUUCCGUGGACAUGGCGAGUUACAAUUUAAAAUUUUAACGGCGCAGGUCGAGAAAAUGGCUGUUGUAAAGAGGGACUUAACAGUAAUAUAUAUUAAUUAUUCUAUAUGAAAUUUGAAAUUGUGCACAA